This is a non-coding RNA of Macaca mulatta (Rhesus monkey), 364 nucleotides long. NCBI's taxonomy places the organism in Eukaryota, Metazoa, Chordata, Mammalia, Primates, Cercopithecidae. The record is from RefSeq and is a predicted model, not a curated record.
UUCUUUAACCAUUUUGACUUCAAAGAACAAACGUGCUGCCUCAAAGUCUCCCAGCUACUCCCUGGGCUCUCUCAGGUACCUGCCCUCUCAGACACUUUUGGCCCAGAACAUCGACUCACCGCUUGGAUUGAAGGGACACAACGCUUUUGUAUAGGUAAUUAGGUCCAGAGGAAAAUGUGAUCGCCUGCCAGCCUGCCCAGACAGUGGGAGAGGCCUGAGAAGCUACAUAUCUCCGCCAUGCCUACCCCAAACCUCUACUAGCUUUCAGCCAUGGGGGUGUGCUCUGCAAUCCUAUAGCACAUGCUGGAAUGCUGUUUGAAUACAAGCUGCUAUAGGUAAUAAAGUUUAUCAGAAUGGCUUGUCA